CCCUUAGAUGUUCUGGGCCGCACGCGUGCUACACUGAGUGGAUCAGCGGGUCAGGUUGCGCGAAAGUGUUUCCUAAUCUUUAAAUCCGCUCGUGAUGGGGAUUGACGGUUGCAAUUUUCCGUCAUGAACGAGGAAUACCUUGUAAGCGCGGGUCAUCAUCCCGCGCUGAAUACGUCCCUGCCCUUUGUACACACCGCCCGUCGCUCCUACCGAUUGAGUGGUCCGGUGAGGCUUUGGGAUCUGGGCGGAAAGAGCGUUUCGCUGUUUCUGCUCGGAAAACUCAGUCGAACCUUAUCAUUUAGAGGAAGGAGAAGUCGUAACA
Molecule: ribosomal RNA, 322 nt
Filed under: uncultured eukaryote
Lineage: Eukaryota
Description: partial 18S ribosomal RNA
Rfam family: Eukaryotic small subunit ribosomal RNA
Source: RNAcentral